This 499-nucleotide long non-coding RNA is filed under the name Mustela putorius furo (domestic ferret). RNAcentral's name for it is "lncRNA (ENSMPUG00000025497.1)". The record is from RNAcentral. Lineage: Eukaryota; Metazoa; Chordata; Mammalia; Carnivora; Mustelidae.
CUGUGACUCAGAUGACCCACUGUGACCUGAAUUAAGAGAGGAACAUUCAUCUCAUCUUAGAGCUGUGGGGCCACAAGGAAGCUGAGCCUCUACCACUGGCCUUGCAUCCAGGGCUUAAAGGGCAAGAGAACAUCACAAUGAAAAGUACCACCACCAGAGAGGCCCAGGGUACAGCGGGCUUACAACGAAUCCAGAUUUUAUUUAUUUGACAGAGAAAUCACAAGUGGGCAGAGAAGCAGGCAGAGAGAGAGGGAGAAGCAGGCGCCCCGCUGAGGACAGAGCCCGAUGGGGGGCUUGAUCCCAGGACCCUGAGAACAUGACCUGAGCCGAAGGCAGAGGCUUAACCCACUGAGACACCCAGAUGCCCCAUCACUACAAUUCUUUAAGAAAUUAUGAAAGUUCUCCAUAGUUCUCCGAAUGCCUCAACCUCAUGUAUGCUUUUUUAAAAUCUAUUGCAAAAGAAAAUGCUGAAUAAAGUUCUCUCUCAUUUCCUAACAGA